Molecule: ribosomal RNA, 1503 nt
Filed under: metagenome
Description: bacterial SSU rRNA
Rfam family: Bacterial small subunit ribosomal RNA
Source: RNAcentral
AGAGUUUGAUCCUGGCUCAGAACGAACGCUGGCGGCGCGUUUUAAGCAUGCAAGUCGAACGGUAGAGAGGUGCUUGCACCUCUUGAGAGUGGCGGACGGGUGAGUAACACGUAGGUGAUCUACCUUUGGGUUGGGGAUAGCCUGUGGAAACACAGGGUAAUACCGGAUACGACCUUUGCACUGUGGUGUAGAGGGGAAAGGCGCAUUAUGCGCCGCCCGAAGAUGAGCCUGCGGUCCAUUAGCUUGUUGGUGGGGUAAGAGCCCACCAAGGCGACGAUGGAUAGCCGGCCUGAGAGGGUGAUCGGCCACACUGGGACUGAGACACGGCCCAGACUCCUACGGGAGGCAUCAGCUAAGAAUCUUCCGCAAUGGGCGCAAGCCUGACGGAGCGACGCCGCGUGGAUGAAGAAGGCCGGAAGGUUGUAAAGUCCUUUUCCUGGGGGAGAAUAAUACCUGGAGGGAAUGCCAGGUAGAUGACGUGAACCAGGGAAUAAGCCCCGGCUAAUAUACGUGCCAGCAGCCGCGGUAACACGUAAGGGGCGAGCGUUGUUCGGAUUUAUUGGGCGUAAAGGGCGUGUAGGCGGUGGUGCAAGUCUGGUGUGAAAUCCCCCGGCUCAACCGGGGAGAUGCGCUGGAAACUGUGCUACUAGAGUCUAGGAGGGGGAGCUGGAAUUCCUGGUGUAGGGGUGAAAUCUGUAGAUAUCAGGAAGAACACCGGUGGCGAAGGCGAGCUCCUGGCCAUAGACUGACGCUGAGGCGCGAAAGCGUGGGGAGCGAACAGGAUUAGAUACCCUGGUAGUCCACGCCGUAAACGAUGUGCACUAGGUGUUGGCACAGAGCGUGUCAGUGCCGCAGCAAACGCGAUAAGUGCACCGCCUGGGGAGUAUGCUCGCAAGGGUGAAACUCAAAGGAAUUGACGGGGGCCCGCACAAGCGGUGGAGCAUGUGGUUUAAUUCGAUAGUACGCGAGGAACCUUACCAGGGCUUGACAUAUAGCGGACGGCUGUAGAGAUACAGCUUCCCUUCGGGGCUGCUAUACAGGUGCUGCAUGGCUGUCGUCAGCUCGUGCUGUGAAGUGUUGGGUUAAGUCCCGCAACGAGCGCAACCCUUGCUGUCUGUUACCAUCAGGUAAUGCUGGGGACUCAGACGGUACUGCCGGUGACAAACCGGAGGAAGGUGGGGACGACGUCAAGUCAUCAUGGCCCUUAUGUCCUGGGCUACACACGUGCUACAAUGGUCGGUACAGAGCGGUGCGAAACCGCGAGGUGGAGCAAAUCGCAGAAAGCCGGUCUCAGUACGGAUUGGAGUCUGAAACCCGACUUCAUGAAGGUGGAAUCGCUAGUAAUCGCGCAUCAGCAUGGCGCGGUGAAUAUGUUCCCGGGCCUUGUACACACCGCCCGUCACACCACCCGAGUUGGGGGUACCCGAAGUCGCUAGUCUAACCAGCAAUGGGGGACGGUGCCGAAGGUAUGCCUGGUAAGGGGGGUGAAGUCGAAACAAGGUA